GCCGUUGUAGCUCAGUCGGAAGAGCGUUUGCCUCCUAAGCGAAAGGUCGCAGGUUCGAUCCCUGCCAGCGGCGCCA
This 76-nucleotide transfer RNA is filed under the name Pseudomonadales bacterium. Its description in RNAcentral is "tRNA-Arg". It matches the Rfam family "tRNA". From Rfam's summary of the family: Transfer RNA (tRNA) molecules are approximately 80 nucleotides in length. Their secondary structure includes four short double-helical elements and three loops (D, anti-codon, and T loops). Lineage: Bacteria; Pseudomonadati; Pseudomonadota; Gammaproteobacteria; Pseudomonadales. RNAcentral also lists the same sequence under 6 other names. The record is from RNAcentral.